RNAcentral lists this small RNA (122 nucleotides) under Escherichia coli. RNAcentral describes it as "RtT RNA". It matches the Rfam family "RtT RNA". From Rfam's summary of the family: This family represents a bacterial cis-regulatory element known as RtT RNA. Lineage: Bacteria; Pseudomonadati; Pseudomonadota; Gammaproteobacteria; Enterobacterales; Enterobacteriaceae. The record is from RNAcentral.
AUCGGGGAAGGGUGAGAACCUUCGACUAAGGUUCGAUUCGAGCGAAAGCGAGAGAACGUUGCCACAGGCAACGACCCGAAGGGUGAGGAGCGAAGCGACGAAUAAUCCUUCCCCCACCACCA